CUAACUUUGCUGUUCACAGGUGUCUUUUAGGAUGAACCAGGUUCAACUGGUGUUACACUUAUCAAAUAGUCACAAGCUUGCAGAGUUUUGAUUCCAAAGUACUCUUUGCCGGAGGCCAUCUCCCACUUUUUCAAUGGCACAUCUAACUUGGCCAAGACAGUUGUCAGUAUAAAUCCAUAAGGUGUGGCAUGGGCUUUGGAUCCAUUGAUGACUCUAUCCAACAGCUUGACAAUGAAAGCAGAUCAAUUAAUCUG
Molecule: long non-coding RNA, 254 nt
Filed under: Nicotiana benthamiana
Lineage: Eukaryota; Viridiplantae; Streptophyta; Magnoliopsida; Solanales; Solanaceae
Description: long non-coding RNA (NBEN_LNC021441)
Source: RNAcentral